CAGUGUGUGGUGAAGAUAGGACUAACACGGGCGAUUGUGAGUCGUCUAUUCGAGGGUUCGAAUCCCUCCAUGCUGAUAA
RNAcentral lists this transfer RNA (79 nucleotides) under Bacillus phage vB_BanS_Nate. RNAcentral's name for it is "tRNA-His". It matches the Rfam family "tRNA". From Rfam's summary of the family: Transfer RNA (tRNA) molecules are approximately 80 nucleotides in length. Lineage: Duplodnaviria; Heunggongvirae; Uroviricota; Caudoviricetes. The record is from RNAcentral.